UUUAGAAAAGCAUCUGGAUGCCCACGCCACCACCCUCCCAGCCACCUCUGAAGUUGCCAGGCUUCCCAACAUUCUUGUCUGUGAUAUUAAAGCCAUGACAGCAAACAGCCCCUUUCUCCUAAGGUUCCUGAUUUGAAGUGGCAAAACAAGGCAGUGGCAUAGUCUCCUGUCCUAUGUCCUUGGCAUGCAGCCUCCACCCAGCUCUGGCUGCAGAGGGCCGCACUCCGCUUGUACCGCAAUUCAUGCACAGUCCAGACUUAUACAGCAGCCGGCAACCCUAAGGGCAGGAUGAUUCCGAGACACACCAAAUCUUUGGCUUCAGGUCACAUGUUGCUCUGGAGAACCGAGAAGGGUGAGCAGACACCAAUCAUGACCCCAAACAGCAAGAGGACAGAAGAUGGUGAGCAGUUUACACAGGUGCUCAACAAAUGUAUUUUAAUGAAUGUCUACAA
RNAcentral lists this long non-coding RNA (452 nucleotides) under Homo sapiens (human). RNAcentral's name for it is "HSALNT0295664". Lineage: Eukaryota; Metazoa; Chordata; Mammalia; Primates; Hominidae. The record is from RNAcentral.